GGCAAGCGUUGUCCGGAAUUAUUGGGCGUAAAGCGCGCGCAGGCGGUUCCUUAAGUCUGAUGUGAAAGCCCCCGGCUCAAUCGGGGAGGGUCAUUGGAAACUGGGGGACUUGAGUGCAGAAGAGGGGAGCGGAAUUCCAUGUGUAGCGGUGAAAUGCGUAGAGAUAUGGAGGAACACCAGUGGCGAAGGCGGCUCUCUGGUCUGUAACUGACGCUGAGGAGCGAAAGCGUGGGGAGCGAACAGGAUUAGAUACCCUGGUAGUCCACGCCGUAAACGAUGAGUGCUAAGUGUUAGAGGGUUUCCACCCUUUAGUGCUGCAGCUAACGCAUUAAGCACUCCGCCUGGGGAGUACGGUCGCAAGACUGAAACUCAAAGGAAUUGACGGGGGCCCGCACAAGCGGUGGAGCAUGUGGUUUAAUUCGAAGCAACGCGAAGAACCUUACCAGGUCUUGACAUCCUCUGACAACCCUAGAGAUAGGGCGUUCCCCUUCGGGGGACAGAGU
RNAcentral lists this ribosomal RNA (503 nucleotides) under uncultured Bacillota bacterium. Its description in RNAcentral is "bacterial SSU rRNA". It matches the Rfam family "Bacterial small subunit ribosomal RNA", at positions 533 to 1032 of the family's 1533-position model. The record is from RNAcentral. Lineage: Bacteria; Bacillati; Bacillota.